GGAUCGUAAAGCUCUGUUGUUAGGGAAGAACAAGUGCGAGAGUAACUGCUCGCACCAUGACGGUACCUAACCAGAAAGCCACGGCUAACUACGUGCCAGCAGCCGCGGUAAUACGUAGGUGGCAAGCGUUGUCCGGAAUUAUUGGGCGUAAAGGGCUCGCAGGCGGUUUCUUAAGUCUGAUGUGAAAGCCCCCGGCUCAACCGGGGAGGGUCAUUGGAAACUGGGAAACUUGAGUGCAGAAGAGGAGAGUGGAAUUCCACGUGUAGCGGUGAAAUGCGUAGAGAUGUGGAGGAACACCAGUGGCGAAGGCGACUCUCUGGUCUGUAACUGACGCUGAGGAGCGAAAGCGUGGGGAGCGAACAGGAUUAGAUACCCUGGUAGUCCACGCCGUAAACGAUGAGUGCUAAGUGUUAGGGGGUUUCCGCCCCUUAG
This 432-nucleotide ribosomal RNA is filed under the name Bacillus pumilus. Its description in RNAcentral is "bacterial SSU rRNA". It matches the Rfam family "Bacterial small subunit ribosomal RNA", at positions 420 to 843 of the family's 1533-position model. The record is from RNAcentral. Lineage: Bacteria; Bacillati; Bacillota; Bacilli; Caryophanales; Bacillaceae.